GACGAACGCUGGCGGCGUGCUUAACACAUGCAAGUCGAACGGAAAGGCCCAGCUUGCUGGGUGCUCGAGUGGCGAACGGGUGAGUAACACGUGGGUGAUCUGCCCCUAACUUCGGGAUAAGCUUGGGAAACUGGGUCUAAUACCGGAUAGGACAAUCGUUUAGUGUCGGUUGUGGAAAGUUUUUUCGGUUAGGGAUGAGCCCGCGGCCUAUCAGCUUGUUGGUGGGGUAAUGGCCUACCAAGGCGUCGACGGGUAGCCGGCCUGAGAGGGUGGACGGCCACAUUGGGACUGAGAUACGGCCCAGACUCCUACGGGGGGCAGCAGUGGGGAAUAUUGCACAAUGGGCGCAAGCCUGAUGCAGCGACGCCGCGUGGGGGAUGACGGCCUUCGGGUUGUAAACCUCUUUCGACAGGGACGAAGCUUUGGUGACGGUACCUGUAGAAGAAGCACCGGCUAACUACGUG
RNAcentral lists this ribosomal RNA (464 nucleotides) under uncultured bacterium. RNAcentral describes it as "partial 16S ribosomal RNA". It matches the Rfam family "Bacterial small subunit ribosomal RNA", at positions 28 to 507 of the family's 1533-position model. The record is from RNAcentral.